AUUGAACGCUGGCGGCAUGCUUUACACAUGCAAGUCGAGCGGCAGCGCGGGGCAACCUGGCGGCGAGCGGCGAACGGGUGAGGAAUACAUCGGAACGUACCCGAGAGUGGGGGAUAACGCCGCGAAAGCGGCGCUAAUACCGCAUAUUCUCCGAGGAGGAAAGUGGGGGACCGCAAGGCCUCACGCUCACGGAGCGGCCGAUGUCGGAUUAGCUAGUUGGUGGGGUAAAGGCUUACCAAGGCGACGAUCCGUAGCUGGUCUGAGAGGAUGAUCAGCCACACUGGGACUGAGACACGGCCCAGACUCCUACGGGAGGCAGCAGUGGGGAAUUUUGGACAAUGGGGGCAACCCUGAUCCAGCCAUGCCGCGUGCGGGAAGAAGGCCUCGGUUGUAACCGCUUUAGUCGGUAAGAAAGGACGUCGUCUAAUAAACGGACGUUCUUGUACGGUACCGGCGGAAUAAGACACCGGCUAACUACGUGCCGGCAGCCGCGGUAAAGUCACGUCG
This 507-nucleotide ribosomal RNA is filed under the name uncultured bacterium. RNAcentral describes it as "bacterial SSU rRNA". It matches the Rfam family "Bacterial small subunit ribosomal RNA", at positions 29 to 530 of the family's 1533-position model. The record is from RNAcentral.